UCGCGGCCUAUCAGCUUGUUGGUGGGGUAACGGCUCACCAAGGCUAUGACGGGUAGCUGGUCUGAGAGGAUGGCCAGCCACAUUGGGACUGCGACACGGCCCAGACUCCUACGGGAGGCAGCAGUGGGGAAUAUUGCGCAAUGGACGAAAGUCUGACGCAGCGACGCCGCGUGUGGGAUGAAGCCUUUCGGGGCGUAAACCACUGUUGCCCGGGACGAACAUCCCCUUUCGAGGGGACUGACGGUACCGGGUGAGGAAGCACCGGCUAACUCUGUGCCAGCAGCCGCGGUAAUACAGAGGGUGCGAGCGUUGUCCGGAAUCACUGGGCGUAAAGGGCGCGUAGGUGGCUUGGUAAGCGUGUGGUGAAAGUCCGGGGCUCAACCCCGGAUCUGCCGUGCGAACUGCUGAGCUCGAGCAAUGUAGAGGCAGGUGGAAUUUCGGGUGUAGCGGUGGAAUGCGUAGAUAUCCGAAAGAACACCAGUGGCGAAGGCGGCCUGCUGGGCAUUUGCUGACACUGAGGCGCGACAGCGUGGGGAGCAAACAGGAUUAGAUACCCUGGUAGUCCACGCCGUAAACGAUGGGUACUAGGUGUCUGGGGGAGCGACCCCCUGGGUGCCGGCGCUAACGCAUGAAGUACCCCGCCUGGGGAGUACGG
This 655-nucleotide ribosomal RNA is filed under the name uncultured Actinomycetes bacterium. RNAcentral's name for it is "bacterial SSU rRNA". It matches the Rfam family "Bacterial small subunit ribosomal RNA", at positions 231 to 885 of the family's 1533-position model. The record is from RNAcentral. Lineage: Bacteria; Bacillati; Actinomycetota; Actinomycetes.